Molecule: ribosomal RNA, 549 nt
Filed under: uncultured bacterium
Lineage: Bacteria
Description: bacterial SSU rRNA
Rfam family: Bacterial small subunit ribosomal RNA
Source: RNAcentral
UAGGGAAUCUUCGGCAAUGGGGGCAACCCUGACCGAGCAACGCCGCGUGAGUGAAGAAGGUUUUCGGAUCGUAAAGCUCUGUUGUAAGUCAAGAACGAGUGUGAGAGUGGAAAGUUCACACUGUGACGGUAGCUUACCAGAAAGGGACGGCUAACUACGUGCCAGCAGCCGCGGUAAUACGUAGGUCCCGAGCGUUGUCCGGAUUUAUUGGGCGUAAAGCGAGCGCAGGCGGUUUGAUAAGUCUGAAGUUAAAGGCUGUGGCUCAACCAUAGUUCGCUUUGGAAACUGUCAAACUUGAGUGCAGAAGGGGAGAGUGGAAUUCCAUGUGUAGCGGUGAAAUGCGUAGAUAUAUGGAGGAACACCGGUGGCGAAAGCGGCUCUCUGGUCUGUAACUGACGCUGAGGCUCGAAAGCGUGGGGAGCGAACAGGAUUAGAUACCCUGGUAGUCCACGCCGUAAACGAUGAGUGCUAGGUGUUGGGUCCUUUCCGGGAUUCAGUGCCGCAGCUAACGCAUUAAGCACUCCGCCUGGGGAGUACGACCGCAAGGCU